Molecule: unclassified non-coding RNA, 456 nt
Filed under: uncultured bacterium
Lineage: Bacteria
Description: partial contains 16S-23S ribosomal RNA intergenic spacer and 23S ribosomal RNA
Source: RNAcentral
UGCUUUGCAAGCAGGGGGUCGUCGGUUCGAUCCCGUCCAUCCUCCACCAAUUACUCUGUGCCAUGGUUGACAAACCAAAGCAUCCGUUGCGCGAAAGCGUGAGCGGUUGUUCUGGUUUGUCAGUCAUAAGGCUCGUAAGAGUCGGCUGUUGUUCUUUAACAAUUUGUAGAGUCGAAUCAGCGCUGCUAGCGGAAAGCGCCAUCUCGUAAAGGGGGUGAGCGUACCGUGCCGCUAGUAGCUUUUGAUUGCGUCAAACACAAGACUUCAACUGAGCAAGAAAUUGUUUAGGUAUGAAGAACGGCGUAACGCGUGAAUACUCAAUAAACGUAUGGAGCUGAGAGGCUCUGUACGAGUCCUUGACGACAGUGCAGUCAGCGCUGUCAAAGUUAUAGGGUCAAGUGACUAAGUGCAUGUGGUGGAUGCCUUGGCGAUUACAGGCGAUGAAGGACGUGCUAA